This 468-nucleotide ribosomal RNA is filed under the name uncultured bacterium. RNAcentral describes it as "partial 16S ribosomal RNA". It matches the Rfam family "Bacterial small subunit ribosomal RNA", at positions 28 to 507 of the family's 1533-position model. The record is from RNAcentral.
GACGAACGCUGGCGGCGUGCUUAACACAUGCAAGUCGAACGGAAAGGCCCUGCUUUUGUGGGGUGCUCGAGUGGCGAACGGGUGAGUAACACGCGAGUAACCUGCCCUUGACUUUGGGAUAACUUCAGGAAACUGGGGCUAAUACCGGAUAGGAGCUCCUGCUGCAUGGUGGGGGUUGGAAAGUUUCGGCGGUUGGGGAUGGACUCGCGGCUUAUCAGCUUGUUGGUGGGGUAGUGGCUUACCAAGGCUUUGACGGGUAGCCGGCCUGAGAGGGUGACUGGCCACAUUGGGACUGAGAUACGGCCCAGACUCCUACGGGAGGCAGCAGUGGGGAAUAUUGCACAAUGGGCGGAAGCCUGAUGCAGCAACGCCGCGUGCGGGAUGACGGCCUUCGGGUUGUAAACCGCUUUCGCCUGUGACGAAGCGUGAGUGACGGUAAUGGGUAAAGAAGCACCGGCUAACUACGUG